This 748-nucleotide ribosomal RNA is filed under the name uncultured Bacillota bacterium. RNAcentral's name for it is "bacterial SSU rRNA". It matches the Rfam family "Bacterial small subunit ribosomal RNA", at positions 57 to 782 of the family's 1533-position model. The record is from RNAcentral. Lineage: Bacteria; Bacillati; Bacillota.
GCAGUCGACGAGGAGCUUCACUGUAGCAAUACGGUGGAGCUUCUAGUGGCGUACGGGUGAGUAACACGUGGGCAACCUGCCCUUGAGUUCGGGAUACCCUCUCGAAAGGGAGGCUAAUACCGGAUACGUUCCUCGGGUCGCGAGACCUGGGGAGGAAAGGUGGCGAAAGCUGCCGCUCUUGGAGGGGCUUGCGGCCUAUCAGCUAGUUGGUGAGGUCACGGCUCACCAAGGCUAUGACGGGUAGCUGGUCUGAGAGGACGACCAGCCACACGGGAACUGAGACACGGUCCCGACUCCUACGGGAGGCAGCAGUGGGGAAUUUUCCGCAAUGGGCGAAAGCCUGACGGAGUGACGCCGCGUGGGGGAUGAAGGCCUUCGGGUUGUAAACCCCUGUCAGAGGGAAAGAAGGGUCGGCGCGUGAAUACCGCGUCGAUCUGACGGUACCUUCAGAGGAAGCCCCGGCCAACUCUGUGCCAGCAGCCGCGGUAAGACAGAGGGGGCAAGCGUUGCUCGGAAUCACUGGGCGUAAAGGGCGCGUAGGCGGGAUGGCAAGUCGGUCGUGAAAUCCCUGGGCUCAACUCAGGGGGGUCGGCCGAUACUGCCGUUCUUGAGGGAUGCAGAGGAGACUGGAAUUCCCGGUGUAGCGGUGAAAUGUGUAGAGAUCGGGAGGAACACCGGUGGCGAAGGCGGGUCUCUGGGCAUUCCCUGACGCUGAGGCGCGAAAGCGUGGGGAGCAAACGGGAUUAGA